RNAcentral lists this ribosomal RNA (425 nucleotides) under uncultured bacterium. Its description in RNAcentral is "bacterial SSU rRNA". It matches the Rfam family "Bacterial small subunit ribosomal RNA", at positions 356 to 773 of the family's 1533-position model. The record is from RNAcentral.
GAGGAAUUUUCCGCAAUGGGCGCAAGCCUGACGGAGCGACGCCGCGUGAGGGAUGACGGCCUUCGGGUUGUAAACCUCUUUUAUUAAGGAAAAAGGUUAUCGUGCUAAUACCACGGUAAUUUGAUGGUACUUAUUGAAUAAGCCCCGGCUAACUACGUGCCAGCAGCCGCGGUAAUACGUAGGGGGCGAGCGUUGUCCGGGGUUACUGGGCGUAAAGAGCGUGUAGGCGGUUGGAAAAGUCAGGUGUGAAAUUUUUCGGCUCAACCGAGAAACUGCGCCUGAAACUUGCCGACUGGAGUUCGGGAGGGGCAACUGGAAUUCCUGGUGUAACGGUGAAAUGUGUAGAUAUCAGGAGGAACACCCGUGGCGAAGGCGGGUUGCUGGACCGAAACUGACGCUGAGACGCGAAAGCGUGGGUAGCAAAC